Coregonus clupeaformis (lake whitefish) is the source of this 433-nucleotide long non-coding RNA. RefSeq lists it as uncharacterized. NCBI's taxonomy places the organism in Eukaryota, Metazoa, Chordata, Actinopteri, Salmoniformes, Salmonidae. The transcript is spliced from 3 exons. The record is from RefSeq and is a predicted model, not a curated record.
CCUGAUCCGGACUGAUAACGGGGAGUUUUUCAUCGAGCCCUUAGAGAAGGGCCAGCAGGAUGUGGAGGUGAAAGGUCGUGUCCAUGUGGUCUACAGGAGAUCUGCCAUAAAAAGGGAACCAGUACAAAGAAGGAAGGACCUCCACAAUGAAGUGGCAGACUUUGGGAUUGCGAACCUCCCCAGAGCUCUGGACCUCUUGGAGCACAAGCUGACAGAGUCGGAGCGCAAACGGCGGCACGCCAAGAAGGACGACUACAACAUCGAGGUGCUGCUGGCCGUGGACGACUCUGUGGUGCGCUUCCAUGGCAAGGAGCACGUGCAGAACUAUGUCCUCACACUCAUCAACAUAGUUGAUGAGAUCUACCACGAUGAGUCCUUGGGAACCAACAUCAACAUCGUCCUCGUCCGCAUGAUCAUGGUCGGGUACAGACAG